This 776-nucleotide long non-coding RNA is filed under the name Homo sapiens (human). RNAcentral describes it as "HSALNT0036720". Lineage: Eukaryota; Metazoa; Chordata; Mammalia; Primates; Hominidae. The record is from RNAcentral.
GGAGGAUCCUGGUGCUGGGACAGUCCUGGUUUUGUAGAUUCCUAGUGCCUAGAGGACACAACUCAAGGAGAGAAAAGGACAGUUUGGGACAACAGGUGGGUGGGCAGUCUUGAAAAUUGGUAGCCACAGACGCCCAGCGAGAGUGAAGAAGGACAGGUGGCUUCAUUCUGUGGUUGAUGAUUCCCUCAUGGAAGUUCUUGUUCAGGGAAGAAGAAAAAAGGACAUCUCAUUAAAGUGCCAAGAUACAAUGCCGGCUCCUACGUGCACCUUGUUUUGGACCCUGAAUGUAAAAGAUCACUUUCAGCGUGUUUUAAAAAGCAUUCGUGAUUUCAGCGAUCCUUUCUGAAAUGUGUAAAAAUACCAUCGUCUCCAAUGAUAAAAACAACAACAACAUCUGCCGAUGGCAAAAUAUAGUCAACUUUCAGGGCCAAGUUUUUGGAAGCAGCCAAUGCGUUUGCAUGUGUGAUUUUCUUUUUCACAUAUAAGUUUCUGUGGAUACAAAAAUAUAUGUUUGUAUGUACUGAUCAGGUGUCUGUGUCUUAAAUUUACAUAGCUAUGGUUUCCCUGCACCUAAAUAUUGAGGCUUUUAAAAUUUGUAGUGUGAAGGUAUAAAGCUUUUAAUUUGUUGUUGGUGGCAUUUGGCAUGAUAUCUUGGGUGGUUUUAUUACUUGUAUUUUUAAAGCAAAUAUACUUAAAUUUUCAAAGGGAUCACUUCCUGUCAAUAUGUAUAUUGUUUCCCCACUUUUCUCCCAAGUUAAUAAACAACUACAAUGAUA